This 253-nucleotide ribosomal RNA is filed under the name uncultured bacterium. RNAcentral describes it as "partial 16S ribosomal RNA". It matches the Rfam family "Bacterial small subunit ribosomal RNA", at positions 524 to 776 of the family's 1533-position model. The record is from RNAcentral.
UACGGAGGAUGCAAGCGUUAUCCGGAAUGAUUGGGCGUAAAGCGUCCGCAGGUGGCAAUGUAAGUCUGCUGUUAAAGAGUCUAGCUCAACUAGAUAAAAGCAGUGGAAACUACAUAGCUAGAGUACGUUCGGGGCAGAGGGAAUUCCUGGUGUAGCGGUGAAAUGCGUAGAUAUCUGGAGGAACACCGGUGGCGAAGGCGGCAUCCUGGACCGACACUGACGCUGAGGAGCGAAAGCCAGGGGAGCAAACGGG